AGCGACGCCGCGUGAGCCAUGAAGGCCUUCGGGUUGUAAAGCUCUUUAGGGGGGGAGAAAAGCCCGCAAGGGUGUGAUCUAUCCCCAAAAUAAGCACGGGCUAAGUUCGUGCCAGCAGCCGCGGUAAGACGAACCGUGCGAAUGUUGUUCGGAAUCACUGGGCUUAAAGGGAGCGUAGGCGGGCUGUCAAGUCUGGGGUGAAAUGCCGCGGCUCAACCGUGGAACUGCCUCAGAUACUGACGGCCUCGAGGGAGAUAGGGGCAUGCGGAACUGUAGGUGGAGCGGUGAAAUGCGUUGAUAUCUACAGGAACUCCGGGGGCGAAAGCGGCGUGCUGGAUCUUUUCUGACGCUGAGGCUCGAAAGCUAGGGGAGCAAACGGGAUUAGAUACCCCGGUAGUCCUAGCCCUAAACGAUGGGUACUAGAUAGUAGGCUAGAUAUGAGUUUACUGUCG
This 452-nucleotide ribosomal RNA is filed under the name uncultured Planctomycetota bacterium. Its description in RNAcentral is "bacterial SSU rRNA". It matches the Rfam family "Bacterial small subunit ribosomal RNA", at positions 390 to 848 of the family's 1533-position model. Lineage: Bacteria; Pseudomonadati; Planctomycetota. The record is from RNAcentral.